UUAAAGUCAAUCUGUAAUUAGAUAAUUGGAAAUUUAGAAUUAAAGUCAACCUAUUGUCCACAUUCCGGACGUCGCGACCUCCGGAAUCGCGAUUCAAUUGGUGUGGUGUAAUGGAGAAGUAGAUCUUUCCAUCUCCACUCCCGUCCUUGAAGAUGUCAUACGACGGUGGCUCUAGUGGAAAAAGACGUCAUGCUACCCAUCUCUUCCUCCUCUUCCGCCCCCACCAGCUUCGAUUUGGGUCUGUGGUGGUGGAGGUGUGGAAUGUAACUAGCUAUGGAGGAGGGGGCUGGGACAAUAUGUGUGGGCCGAUGAGCUGUCUUUGUUUUCUUCUCUCUACUAUUCCUUUCUCUCUCUCUACAGGGGUGGAAAGCUCAGGAAAACGACGAGGUUGGGGCCAAGAGGGAAAAAAAGAAAAGAGGAAGGAAAACUGUGAUGGUGAGAUGUCAUUCUCCGUCAGUGAAUUUACGACCACCGAUGGUGAGAAAUAGAAUAUAGAUAAGUUGUUGGUGGUUGCCAUGGUGACUUCCGGAAUUUUAAAUCCGGAGAUCGAGCUACGUGACGGUGGUGAGUAUGGAGGUGCCGCAUGGAAUUUGUCACCGUCUGUGAUCCUCGGCGUAUAUAAUUAUUAUCUUAUAUGAAUCAAAUUAUCCCAAAUUAUUAUUCUACAAAAUCACAAACUAUAUAGUUAUAUGUAUCUAGCAUUCUGACUUGUGUUUUUGUGUUAAAAGAUCGGGAAUGGAUUGUGUGACAAUCUACUGACAUGUGUUGUUAGUAUUGAGAAGUGAUCAAG
This 790-nucleotide long non-coding RNA is filed under the name Zostera marina. Its description in RNAcentral is "long non-coding RNA (ZMAR_LNC005605)". Lineage: Eukaryota; Viridiplantae; Streptophyta; Magnoliopsida; Alismatales; Zosteraceae. The record is from RNAcentral.